RNAcentral lists this ribosomal RNA (404 nucleotides) under Actinomycetes bacterium. RNAcentral's name for it is "Actinobacteria bacterium partial 16S ribosomal RNA". It matches the Rfam family "Bacterial small subunit ribosomal RNA", at positions 355 to 776 of the family's 1533-position model. Lineage: Bacteria; Bacillati; Actinomycetota; Actinomycetes. The record is from RNAcentral.
UGGGGAAUAUUGGACAAUGGGCGCAAGCCUGAUCCAGCCAUGCCGCGUGAGUGAUGAAGGCCCUAGGGUUGUAAAGCUCUUUCACCGGUGAAGAUAAUGACGGUAACCGGAGAAGAAGCCCCGGCUAACUUCGUGCCAGCAGCCGCGGUAAUACGAAGGGGGCUAGCGUUGUUAGGAUUUACUGGGCGUAAAGCGCACGUAGGCGGACUAUUAAGUCAGGGGUGAAAUCCCGGGGCUCAACCCCGGAACUGCCUUUGAUACUGGUAGUCUUGAGUUCGAGAGAGGUGAGUGGAAUUCCGAGUGCAGAGGUGAAAUUCGUAGAUAUUCGGAGGAACACCAGUGGCGAAGGCGGCUCACUGGCUCGAUACUGACGCUGAGGUGCGAAAGCGUGGGGAGCAAACAGG